Molecule: ribosomal RNA, 503 nt
Filed under: Toxoplasma gondii ME49
Lineage: Eukaryota; Apicomplexa; Conoidasida; Eucoccidiorida; Sarcocystidae
Description: Toxoplasma gondii rRNA TGME49_459520
Source: RNAcentral
CUGGUGAGAGAGAGAAGGCAAAGGGAUAAAUGGCAAACCGGCGGCACUUCUUGGAAUCAAAAAGGUCCCAAUCGCUUCCUUUUCAGCAAUUUCAGGCACUUUUAACUCUCUUUCCAAAGAACUUUUCAUCUUUCCCUCACGGUACUUGUUUGCUAUCGGUCUCGCGCCAGUACUUAGCUUUAUGUGAAACCUACCACACAUUUUGCGCUCAAAUCCCGAUGAACGCGACUCUAUAAAAGCGUACCGUACGUGGAACAAAAAACGCAGGGGAAGGACGGGAUUCUCACCCUCUAUGAUGUUCUUUCCCAAGAAACUUAACCCUGCGCUUCCACUGGUAACGCCUCUCGAGGCUACAAGUCAACAGCUCGGAAAGAGCAGUUGAUUUCCACUUUGAGCUGAUCCCGGUUCACUCGCCGUUACUAAGGGAAUCAUAGUUAUUUUCUUCUCCUCCGCUUAAUAAUAUGCUUAAGUUCAGCGGGUAACCUCGCCUGAUUUCAGGUCUG